RNAcentral lists this ribosomal RNA (465 nucleotides) under uncultured bacterium. RNAcentral describes it as "partial 16S ribosomal RNA". It matches the Rfam family "Bacterial small subunit ribosomal RNA", at positions 339 to 795 of the family's 1533-position model. The record is from RNAcentral.
CUACGGGGCGCAGCAGUCGAGAAUCUUUCGCAAUGGGGGAAACCCUGACGACGCGACGCCGCGUGGAGGAUGAAGGCCUUCGGGUUGUAAACUCCUGUCAGCAGGGGAGAACAAGUUGUCGAUGAAUAAUUGACGACUUUGACAGUACCUGCAGAGGAAGCCACGGCUAACUCUGUGCCAGCAGCCGCGGUAAUACAGAGGUGGCAAGCGUUGUUCGGGUUUAUUGGGCGUAAAGGGUCCGUAGGCGGCCUGAAAAGUCGGAUGUGAAAUCCCACAGCUUAACUGUGGAACUGCAUUCGAAACUUUCGGGCUCGAGUGUGAUAGGGGUAAAGGGAAUUCCCGGUGUAAGGGUGAAAUCUGCAGAGAUCGGGAGGAACACCAGUCGCGAAGGCGCUUUACUGGAUUACUACUGACGCUGAGGGACGAAAGCCAGGGGAGCAAACGGGAUUAGAUACCCCGGUAGUC